GUCUUUCUUGGAGGAGGAACACUGAGACUUGUUCUUCUGAGACUUAAUGGAAAUUGCUUAGAUAUAUCUCUACCUAUUUACCAUUAAAAUUAAGAUUUUUUUUUUUUGGUUACCUUUCUGGUGGUUUAUAGAGUUGAUGUUAUCCUUGAAGGUUCACAUAGAACAAGCUGAAUCAGUAUACUGGGGUGUUUGAAUUGCAUUGUUAAGAUACUGUGAUUGGGUAUCAAUUUGAAUGUUGUCCACCAAGCUUAUUUAGCGAUAAGUUGUUAUGCUGUAUAAUAUUUUGACGUGGUAUGGUGCCAUAUAUUUAAUCUGGGUGUCUUAGGAUUUUAUUUUUCCUUUUUAAUUUGCAGCAGGCCUCCGGUGUAGCUUUGAG
Molecule: unclassified non-coding RNA, 376 nt
Filed under: Hevea brasiliensis (rubber tree)
Lineage: Eukaryota; Viridiplantae; Streptophyta; Magnoliopsida; Malpighiales; Euphorbiaceae
Source: RNAcentral